Molecule: ribosomal RNA, 480 nt
Filed under: uncultured bacterium
Lineage: Bacteria
Description: bacterial SSU rRNA
Rfam family: Bacterial small subunit ribosomal RNA
Source: RNAcentral
AUGAACGCUGGCGGCGUGCUUAACACAUGCAAGUCGAACGAAGCAUUUAGGACAGAUUACUUCGGUUUGAAGUUCUUUAUGACUGAGUGGCGGACGGGUGAGUAACGCGUGGGUAACCUGCCUUGUACUGGGGGAUAGCAGCUGGAAACGGCUGGUAAUACCGCAUAAGCGCACGAUGUCGCAUGACAAAGUGUGAAAAACUCCGGUGGUAUAAGAUGGACCCGCGUCUGAUUAGCUAGUUGGUGAGAUAACAGCCCACCAAGGCGACGAUCAGUAGCCGACCUGAGAGGGUGACCGGCCACAUUGGGACUGAGACACGGCCCAGACUCCUACGGGAGGCAGCAGUGGGGAAUAUUGCACAAUGGAGGAAACUCUGAUGCAGCGACGCCGCGUGAGUGAAGAAGUAAUUCGUUAUGUAAAGCUCUAUCAGCAGGGAAGAUAGUGACGGUACCUGACUAAGAAGCUCCGGCUAAAUACGUG